CGCACGGGUGAGUAACGCGUAUGCAACUUACCUAUCAGAGGGGGAUAACCCGGCGAAAGUCGGACUAAUACCGCAUGAAGCAGGGAUCCCGCAUGGGAAUAUUUGCUAAAGAUUCAUCGCUGAUAGAUAGGCAUGCGUUCCAUUAGGCAGUUGGCGGGGUAACGGCCCACCAAACCGACGAUGGAUAGGGGUUCUGAGAGGAAGGUCCCCCACAUUGGUACUGAGACACGGACCAA
RNAcentral lists this ribosomal RNA (236 nucleotides) under uncultured bacterium. RNAcentral's name for it is "partial 16S ribosomal RNA". It matches the Rfam family "Bacterial small subunit ribosomal RNA", at positions 99 to 334 of the family's 1533-position model. The record is from RNAcentral.